UUAAGCGACUAAGCGUACACGGUGGAUGCCCUGGCAGUCAGAGGCGAUGAAGGGCGUGCUAAUCUGCGAUAAGCGCCGGUAAGGUGAUAUGAACCGUUAUAACCGGCGAUACCCGAAUGGGGAAACCCAGUGUGAUUCGUCACACUAUCAUUAACUGAAUCCAUAGGUUAAUGAGGCGAACCGGGGGAACUGAAACAUCUAAGUACCCCGAGGAAAAGAAAUCAACCGAGAUUCCCCCAGUAGCGGCGAGCGAACGGGGAGGAGCCCAGAGCCUGAAUCAGCAUGUGUGUUAGUGGAAGCGUCUGGAAAGGCGCGCGAUACAGGGUGACAGCCCCGUACACAAAAGCGCAUGUGCUGUGAGCUCGAUGAGUAGGGCGGGACACGUGGUAUCCUGUCUGAAUAUGGGGGGACCAUCCUCCAAGGCUAAAUACUCCUGACUGACCGAUAGUGAACCAGUACCGUGAGGGAAAGGCGAAAAGAACCCCGGCGAGGGGAGUGAAAAAGAACCUGAAACCGUGUACGUACAAGCAGUGGGAGCCCCACCACUAAGCCAGUGGUGAACUCCACAUCCGCAUCCUUUGCUGAGGAUACGGUUAACGGAGCGAAAGCGACGUUCAACCGCAAAACAAGCAGAGGGGGCUUAGUGGUGGGGUGACUGCGUACCUUUUGUAUAAUGGGUCAGCGACUUAUAUUCUGUAGCAAGGUUAACCGAAUAGGGGAGCCGGAGGGAAACCGAGUCUUAAUUGGGCGUUAAGUUGCAGGGUAUAGACCCGAAACCCGGUGAUCUAGCCAUGGGCAGGUUGAAGGUUGGGUAACACUAACUGGAGGACCGAACCGACUAAUGUUGAAAAAUUAGCGGAUGACCUGUGGCUGGGGGUGAAAGGCCAAUCAAACCGGGAGAUAGCUGGUUCUCCCCGAAAGCUAUUUAGGUAGCGCCUCGUGAAUUCAUCUCCGGGGGUAGAGCACUGUUUCGGCUAGGGGGCCAUCCCGGCUUACCAACCCGAUGCAAACUGCGAAUACCGGAGAAUGUUAUCACGGGAGACACACGGCGGGUGCUAACGUCCGUCGUGAAGAGGGAAACAACCCAGACCGCCAGCUAAGGUCCCAAAGUCAUGGUUAAGUGGGAAACGAUGUGGGAAGGCCCAGACAGCCAGGAUGUUGGCUUAGAAGCAGCCAUCAUUUAAAGAAAGCGUAAUAGCUCACUGGUCGAGUCGGCCUGCGCGGAAGAUGUAACGGGGCUAAACCAUGCACCGAAGCUGCGGCAGCGAACGUAUCACUUAAAGCGAUUCAGCGGGUUACGAUUGACGGAGCGAAGCGACGUCAAAGCGUAUACAAAGUCGAGUCGGUUUAAGGAUACGUUCGUUGGGUAGGGGAGCGUUCUGUAAGCCCGUGAAGGUGGCCUGUGAGGGUUGCUGGAGGUAUCAGAAGUGCGAAUGCUGACAUAAGUAACGAUAAAGCGGGUGAAAAGCCCGCUCGCCGGAAGACCAAGGGUUCCUGUCCAACGUUAAUCGGGGCAGGGUGAGUCGACCCCUAAGGCGAGGCCGAAAGGCGUAGUCGAUGGGAAACGGGUUAAUAUUCCCGUACUUGGUGUUACUGCGAAGGGGGGACGGAGAAGGCUAUGUUGGCCGGGCGACGGUUGUCCCGGUUUAAGCGUGUAGGUGUGUGUUCCAGGUAAAUCCGGUUCACUUUAACACUGAGGCGUGACGACGAGGCACUACGGUGCUGAAGCAACAAAUGCCCUGCUUCCAGGAAAAGCCUCUAAGCAUCAGGUAACAUCAAAUCGUACCCCAAACCGACACAGGUGGUCAGGUAGAGAAUACCAAGGCGCUUGAGAGAACUCGGGUGAAGGAACUAGGCAAAAUGGUGCCGUAACUUCGGGAGAAGGCACGCUGACACGUAGGUGAAGUGAUUUACUCAUGGAGCUGAAGUCAGUCGAAGAUACCAGCUGGCUGCAACUGUUUAUUAAAAACACAGCACUGUGCAAACACGAAAGUGGACGUAUACGGUGUGACGCCUGCCCGGUGCCGGAAGGUUAAUUGAUGGGGUCAGCGCAAGCGAAGCUCCUGAUCGAAGCCCCGGUAAACGGCGGCCGUAACUAUAACGGUCCUAAGGUAGCGAAAUUCCUUGUCGGGUAAGUUCCGACCUGCACGAAUGGCGUAAUGAUGGCCAGGCUGUCUCCACCCGAGACUCAGUGAAAUUGAACUCGCUGUGAAGAUGCAGUGUACCCGCGGCAAGACGGAAAGACCCCGUGAACCUUUACUAUAGCUUGACACUGAACAUUGAGCCUUGAUGUGUAGGAUAGGUGGGAGGCUUUGAAGUGUGGACGCCAGUCUGCAUGGAGCCGACCUUGAAAUACCACCCUUUAAUGUUUGAUGUUCUAACGUGGACCCGUAAUCCGGGUUGCGGACAGUGUCUGGUGGGUAGUUUGACUGGGGCGGUCUCCUCCUAAAGAGUAACGGAGGAGCACGAAGGUUGGCUAAUCCUGGUCGGACAUCAGGAGGUUAGUGCAAUGGCAUAAGCCAGCUUGACUGCGAGCGUGACGGCGCGAGCAGGUGCGAAAGCAGGUCAUAGUGAUCCGGUGGUUCUGAAUGGAAGGGCCAUCGCUCAACGGAUAAAAGGUACUCCGGGGAUAACAGGCUGAUACCGCCCAAGAGUUCAUAUCGACGGCGGUGUUUGGCACCUCGAUGUCGGCUCAUCACAUCCUGGGGCUGAAGUAGGUCCCAAGGGUAUGGCUGUUCGCCAUUUAAAGUGGUACGCGAGCUGGGUUUAGAACGUCGUGAGACAGUUCGGUCCCUAUCUGCCGUGGGCGCUGGAGAACUGAGGGGGGCUGCUCCUAGUACGAGAGGACCGGAGUGGACGCAUCACUGGUGUUCGGGUUGUCAUGCCAAUGGCACUGCCCGGUAGCUAAAUGCGGAAGAGAUAAGUGCUGAAAGCAUCUAAGCACGAAACUUGCCCCGAGAUGAGUUCUCCCUGAGACUUAGAGUCUCCUGAAGGAACGUUGAAGACGACGACGUUGAUAGGCCGGGUGUGUAAGCGCAGCGAUGCGUUGAGCUAACCGGUACUAAUGAACCGUGAGGCUUAACCU
RNAcentral lists this ribosomal RNA (3085 nucleotides) under Salmonella enterica subsp. enterica serovar 4,[5],12:i:-. Its description in RNAcentral is "23S ribosomal RNA". It matches the Rfam family "Bacterial large subunit ribosomal RNA". The record is from RNAcentral. Lineage: Bacteria; Pseudomonadati; Pseudomonadota; Gammaproteobacteria; Enterobacterales; Enterobacteriaceae.